Long non-coding RNA from Sardina pilchardus (European sardine), 662 nucleotides. RefSeq lists it as uncharacterized. The transcript has 2 exons. Lineage: Eukaryota; Metazoa; Chordata; Actinopteri; Clupeiformes; Clupeidae. The record is from RefSeq and is a predicted model, not a curated record.
UCUAAACUCGCAAACAAAUUAUUUGUGUAGUUGCAAAAAAAAACUGUUUGAAUAACUUGUCUUUUGGUUUACAAUAACAACAGUCAUUUGCAGCGACAUCAUUCGUUUGUUUGCUCCUGGCUUUUUCAGUUUCGAUUCUGGCUCUCGCGUUUGCGCUGCCUGUUUCUUUGCUUGCGAUUCUGGCACAAACUUCACAUGUGGGUGGGUGUCUGUGGGGUGCAUUCCUAUUGGCUGAUGCGUUUUGACUGACAGCUUUACUAUGGAUUCAAGCGCAAGAGCUACCCACCUCCCCCCCUCCCCAGUAGGUAGUGGUGCAACGCUCUUUUUGGCCACUAUGUACAGGUAUAUGCGAUGUGGCGCUAUUGAGCACAGUAUGUCAACCGCCAUAUGAAGAAGAAGAAGAUAUUGACCACAGUAAGUUCCGUGGAGCUAGCUACACCAAAGCCACCGAUGGGCUACACGCGUUAUGGACUCAAAACAAUGGGUUUUCCUCACUACUCAUUAAUCCAAGAACAACUCAUCGUGAUGGAGCACCUGUACUCCCUGAUACAGCAGGAUCUGAGGGGAUUCCUCAGACAGGACGCAGAUGUGGAUUGACAACAUCCUGCAGUUUAACUUUAUUAGAAUAAGUGUUGUUUUGAAUAAAGAACAAUAAAAUUGUA